UACGUAGGGUGCAAGCGUUAAUCGGAAUUACUGGGCGUAAAGCGUGCGCAGGCGGUUUUGUAAGUCUGUCGUGAAAUCCCCGGGCUCAACCUGGGAAUGGCGAUGGAGACUGCAGGGCUAGAGUUUGGCAGAGGGGGGUAGAAUUCCACGUGUAGCAGUGAAAUGCGUAGAGAUGUGGAGGAACACCGAUGGCGAAGGCAGCCCCCUGGGUCAAAACUGACGCUCAUGCACGAAAGCGUGGGGAGCAAACGGG
RNAcentral lists this ribosomal RNA (253 nucleotides) under uncultured bacterium. RNAcentral's name for it is "partial 16S ribosomal RNA". It matches the Rfam family "Bacterial small subunit ribosomal RNA", at positions 524 to 776 of the family's 1533-position model. The record is from RNAcentral.